This 253-nucleotide ribosomal RNA is filed under the name uncultured bacterium. Its description in RNAcentral is "partial 16S ribosomal RNA". It matches the Rfam family "Bacterial small subunit ribosomal RNA", at positions 524 to 776 of the family's 1533-position model. The record is from RNAcentral.
UACGGAGGGUGCAAGCGUUGUCCGGAUUUAUUGGGUUUAAAGGGUGCGUAGGUGGCCUUGUAAGUCCGUGGUGAAAGCCUCUCGCUUAACGAGAGAACUGCCAUGGAUACUGCAAGGCUUGAGUCCAGACGAGGUUGGCGGAAUGGAUGGUGUAGCGGUGAAAUGCAUAGAUACCAUCCAGAACCCCGAUUGCGUAGGCAGCUGACUAGGCUGGUACUGACACUGAGGCGCGACAGCGUGGGGAGCAAACAGG